This 406-nucleotide ribosomal RNA is filed under the name uncultured bacterium. RNAcentral describes it as "partial 16S ribosomal RNA". It matches the Rfam family "Bacterial small subunit ribosomal RNA", at positions 30 to 526 of the family's 1533-position model. The record is from RNAcentral.
AUUGAACGCUGGCGGCAGGCCUAACACAUGCGAGUCGAACGAGUGGCGUACGGGUGAGUAAUGUCUGGGAAACUGCCUGAUGGAGGGGGAUACCUCCUGGAAACGGUAUCUAAUACCGCAUACCAUCGGAUGUGCCCAGAUGGGAUUAGCUAGUAGGUGGGGUAACGGCUCACCUAGGCGACGAUCCCUAGCUGGUCUGAGAGGAUGACCAGCCACACUGUAACUGAGCAACGGUCCAGACUCAUACGGGAGGCAGCAGUGGGGAAUAUUGCACAAUGGGAGCAAGCCUGAUACAGCCAUGCCGCGUGUAUGAAGAAGGCCUUCGGGUUGUAAAGUACUUUCAGCGGGGAGGCGUUACCAGCAGAAGAAGCACCGGCUAACUCCGUGCCAGCAGCCGCGGUAAUUC